Molecule: ribosomal RNA, 300 nt
Filed under: Triticum aestivum (bread wheat)
Lineage: Eukaryota; Viridiplantae; Streptophyta; Magnoliopsida; Poales; Poaceae
Description: partial small subunit ribosomal RNA
Source: RNAcentral
AUGGAUGUGAAUGACAUUAUGAAUAUACAAAUUGGGAAUUGGGAAGGAGACGACUAUCUGGCAUGGAACUACAUAUCAGUUCGUAUUUUCUCUGUCAAAUCCGCAUACAAAGCCAGGAGAUUUAAUGAUUUUAUUGUUCAAUGGGACAGGAAGGGUGGAUCUUCAUCAUCUUCUUCCGAUGCUCACAAGGCAUGGCGUGUUGCCCUACGGAGUGUGGCUGUCGGAGCUGAAUUGGCUAGGAGGAAUAUCAAGCUCAAUGUUAGAUGCCCCUUCCAAUGCUUUCCACCGAGGUGGUGUUGA